GACGAACGCUGGCGGCGUGCUUAACACAUGCAAGUCGAACGGAAAGGCCCUGCUUUUGUGGGGUGCUCGAGUGGCGAACGGGUGAGUAACACGUGAGUAACCUGCCCUUGACUUUGGGAUAACUUCAGGAAACUGGGGCUAAUACCGGAUAGGAGCUCCUGCUGCAUGGUGGGGGUUGGAAAGUUUCGGCGGUUGGGGAUGGACUCGCGGCUUAUCAGCUUGUUGGUGGGGUAGUGGCUUACCAAGGCUUUGACGGGUAGCCGGCCUGAGAGGGUGACCGGCAACAUUGGGAAUGAGAUGCGGCGCAGACUCCUGCGGGAGGCAGCAGUGGGGAAUAUUGCACAAUGGGCGGAAGCCUGAUGCAGCAACGCCGCGGGCGGGAUGGCGGCCUGCGGGUUGUAAACCGCUUUCGCCUGUGACGAAGCGUGAGUGACGGUAAUGGGUAAAGAAGCACCGGCUAACUAC
Molecule: ribosomal RNA, 465 nt
Filed under: uncultured bacterium
Lineage: Bacteria
Description: partial 16S ribosomal RNA
Rfam family: Bacterial small subunit ribosomal RNA
Source: RNAcentral